AGCACCGGUGGCGAAGGGGCUAACGCGCUGGUCUGCAAAACCAGUAUUCGCCGGUUCAAAUCCGGCCCGGUGCUCCAA
RNAcentral lists this transfer RNA (78 nucleotides) under Acidobacterium capsulatum ATCC 51196. Its description in RNAcentral is "tRNA-Cys". It matches the Rfam family "tRNA". Rfam says of the family: Transfer RNA (tRNA) molecules are approximately 80 nucleotides in length. Their secondary structure includes four short double-helical elements and three loops (D, anti-codon, and T loops). Lineage: Bacteria; Pseudomonadati; Acidobacteriota; Terriglobia; Terriglobales; Acidobacteriaceae. The record is from RNAcentral.